UACGUAGGGUGCAAGCGUUAAUCGGAAUUACUGGGCGUAAGCGUGCGCAGGCGGUUAUAUAAGACAGUUGUGAAAUCCCCGGGCUCAACCUGGGAACUGCAUCUGUGACUGUAUAGCUAGAGUACGGUAGAGGGGGAUGGAAUUCCGCGUGUAGCAGUGAAAUGCGUAGAUAUGCGGAGGAACACCGAUGGCGAAGGCAAUCCCCUGGACCUGUACUGACGCUCAUGCACGAAAGCGUGGGGAGCAAACAGG
Molecule: ribosomal RNA, 252 nt
Filed under: uncultured bacterium
Lineage: Bacteria
Description: partial 16S ribosomal RNA
Rfam family: Bacterial small subunit ribosomal RNA
Source: RNAcentral